AAAAAAAACCAAAAAAAAUGUGGAUGUAAGAGAUCGGAUGCUAUAUAUGGAUCCACAUUGUAUAACGGAUGUACCUUUACAAAACAGAACUACGAUAUGAGAGAUUUAGCAGCCACAAAUCUUGGUUUAUCCCCAAGAACAUAUCCACGCAAUUUAAUAGAACUAACUAACCUUUUCCUUUAAAAAAAAUAAAAUAAUAACUAACUAACC
RNAcentral lists this long non-coding RNA (210 nucleotides) under Salvia miltiorrhiza (redroot sage). RNAcentral's name for it is "long non-coding RNA (SMIL_LNC008493)". The record is from RNAcentral. Lineage: Eukaryota; Viridiplantae; Streptophyta; Magnoliopsida; Lamiales; Lamiaceae.